GACGAACGCUGGCAGCGUGCCUAAUACAUGCAAGUUGAGCGCUGAAGGUUGGUACUUGUACCAACUGGAUGAGCAGCGAACGGGUGAGUAACGCGUGGGGAAUCUGCCUUUGAGCGGGGGACAACAUUUGGAAGCGAAUGCUAAUACCGCAUAAAAACUUUAAACACAAGUUUUAAGUUUGAAAGAUGCAAUUGCAUCACUCAAAGAUGAUCCCGCGUUGUAUUAGCUAGUUGGUGAGGUAAAGGCUCACCAAGGCGAUGAUACAUAGCCGACCUGAGAGGGUGAUCGGCCACAUUGGGACUGAGACACGGCCCAAACUCCUACGGGAGGCAGCAGUAGGGAAUCUUCGGCAAUGGACGAAAGUCUGACCGAGCAACGCCGCGUGAGUGAAGAAGGUUUUCGGAUCGUAAAACUCUGUUGGUAGAGAAGAACGUUGGUGAGAGUGGAAAGCUCAUCAAGUGACGGUAACUACCCAGAAAGGGACGGCUAACUACGUG
This 497-nucleotide ribosomal RNA is filed under the name uncultured bacterium. RNAcentral describes it as "partial 16S ribosomal RNA". It matches the Rfam family "Bacterial small subunit ribosomal RNA", at positions 28 to 507 of the family's 1533-position model. The record is from RNAcentral.